RNAcentral lists this ribosomal RNA (406 nucleotides) under uncultured bacterium. RNAcentral's name for it is "partial 16S ribosomal RNA". It matches the Rfam family "Bacterial small subunit ribosomal RNA", at positions 28 to 526 of the family's 1533-position model. The record is from RNAcentral.
GACGAACGCUGGCGGCGUGCCUAAUACAUGCAAGUCGAACGAGUGGCGGACGGGUGAGUAAUGUCUGGGAAACUGCCCGAUGGAGGGGGAUAACUACUGGAAACGGUAGCUAAUACCACAUACCAUCGGAUGUGCCCAGAUGGGAUUAGCUAGUAGGUGGGGUAACGGCUCACCUAGGCGACGAUCCCUAGCUGGUCUGAGAGGAUGACCAGCCACACUGGAACUGAGACACGGUCCAGACUCCUACGGGAGGCAGCAGUGGGGAAUAUUGCACAAUGGGCGCAAGCCUGAUGCAGCCAUGCCGCGUGUAUGAAGAAGGCCCUAGGGUUGUAAAGUACUUUCAGUCGGGAGGCGUUACCGACAGAAGAAGCACCGGCUAACUCCGUGCCAGCAGCCGCGGUAAUAC